GGUUAAGCGACUAAGCGUACACGGUGGAUGCCCUGGCAGUCAGAGGCGAUGAAGGACGUGCUAAUCUGCGAUAAGCGUCGGUAAGGUGAUAUGAACCGUUAUAACCGGCGAUUUCCGAAUGGGGAAACCCAGUGUGUUUCGACACACUAUCAUUAACUGAAUCCAUAGGUUAAUGAGGCGAACCGGGGGAACUGAAACAUCUAAGUACCCCGAGGAAAAGAAAUCAACCGAGAUUCCCCCAGUAGCGGCGAGCGAACGGGGAGCAGCCCAGAGCCUGAAUCAGUGUGUGUGUUAGUGGAAGCGUCUGGAAAGGCGCGCGAUACAGGGUGACAGCCCCGUACACAAAAAUGCACAUGCUGUGAGCUCGAUGAGUAGGGCGGGACACGUGGUAUCCUGUCUGAAUAUGGGGGGACCAUCCUCCAAGGCUAAAUACUCCUGACUGACCGAUAGUGAACCAGUACCGUGAGGGAAAGGCGAAAAGAACCCCGGCGAGGGGAGUGAAAAAGAACCUGAAACCGUGUACGUACAAGCAGUGGGAGCACGCUUAGGCGUGUGACUGCGUACCUUUUGUAUAAUGGGUCAGCGACUUAUAUUCUGUAGCAAGGUUAACCGAAUAGGGGAGCCGAAGGGAAACCGAGUCUUAACUGGGCGUUAAGUUGCAGGGUAUAGACCCGAAACCCGGUGAUCUAGCCAUGGGCAGGUUGAAGGUUGGGUAACACUAACUGGAGGACCGAACCGACUAAUGUUGAAAAAUUAGCGGAUGACUUGUGGCUGGGGGUGAAAGGCCAAUCAAACCGGGAGAUAGCUGGUUCUCCCCGAAAGCUAUUUAGGUAGCGCCUCGUGAAUUCAUCUCCGGGGGUAGAGCACUGUUUCGGCAAGGGGGUCAUCCCGACUUACCAACCCGAUGCAAACUGCGAAUACCGGAGAAUGUUAUCACGGGAGACACACGGCGGGUGCUAACGUCCGUCGUGAAGAGGGAAACAACCCAGACCGCCAGCUAAGGUCCCAAAGUCAUGGUUAAGUGGGAAACGAUGUGGGAAGGCCCAGACAGCCAGGAUGUUGGCUUAGAAGCAGCCAUCAUUUAAAGAAAGCGUAAUAGCUCACUGGUCGAGUCGGCCUGCGCGGAAGAUGUAACGGGGCUAAACCAUGCACCGAAGCUGCGGCAGCGACGCUUAUGCGUUGUUGGGUAGGGGAGCGUUCUGUAAGCCUGCGAAGGUGUGCUGUGAGGCAUGCUGGAGGUAUCAGAAGUGCGAAUGCUGACAUAAGUAACGAUAAAGCGGGUGAAAAGCCCGCUCGCCGGAAGACCAAGGGUUCCUGUCCAACGUUAAUCGGGGCAGGGUGAGUCGACCCCUAAGGCGAGGCCGAAAGGCGUAGUCGAUGGGAAACAGGUUAAUAUUCCUGUACUUGGUGUUACUGCGAAGGGGGGACGGAGAAGGCUAUGUUGGCCGGGCGACGGUUGUCCCGGUUUAAGCGUGUAGGCUGGUUUUCCAGGCAAAUCCGGAAAAUCAAGGCUGAGGCGUGAUGACGAGGUACUACGGUGCUGAAGCAACAAAUGCCCUGCUUCCAGGAAAAGCCUCUAAGCAUCAGGUAACAUCAAAUCGUACCCCAAACCGACACAGGUGGUCAGGUAGAGAAUACCAAGGCGCUUGAGAGAACUCGGGUGAAGGAACUAGGCAAAAUGGUGCCGUAACUUCGGGAGAAGGCACGCUGAUAUGUAGGUGAAGUCCCUUGCGGAUGGAGCUGAAAUCAGUCGAAGAUACCAGCUGGCUGCAACUGUUUAUUAAAAACACAGCACUGUGCAAACACGAAAGUGGACGUAUACGGUGUGACGCCUGCCCGGUGCCGGAAGGUUAAUUGAUGGGGUUAGCGGUAACGCGAAGCUCUUGAUCGAAGCCCCGGUAAACGGCGGCCGUAACUAUAACGGUCCUAAGGUAGCGAAAUUCCUUGUCGGGUAAGUUCCGACCUGCACGAAUGGCGUAAUGAUGGCCAGGCUGUCUCCACCCGAGACUCAGUGAAAUUGAACUCGCUGUGAAGAUGCAGUGUACCCGCGGCAAGACGGAAAGACCCCGUGAACCUUUACUAUAGCUUGACACUGAACAUUGAGCCUUGAUGUGUAGGAUAGGUGGGAGGCUUUGAAGUGUGGACGCCAGUCUGCAUGGAGCCGACCUUGAAAUACCACCCUUUAAUGUUUGAUGUUCUAACGUUGACCCGUGAUCCGGGUUGCGGACAGUGUCUGGUGGGUAGUUUGACUGGGGCGGUCUCCUCCUAAAGAGUAACGGAGGAGCACGAAGGUUGGCUAAUCCUGGUCGGACAUCAGGAGGUUAGUGCAAUGGCAUAAGCCAGCUUGACUGCGAGCGUGACGGCGCGAGCAGGUGCGAAAGCAGGUCAUAGUGAUCCGGUGGUUCUGAAUGGAAGGGCCAUCGCUCAACGGAUAAAAGGUACUCCGGGGAUAACAGGCUGAUACCGCCCAAGAGUUCAUAUCGACGGCGGUGUUUGGCACCUCGAUGUCGGCUCAUCACAUCCUGGGGCUGAAGUAGGUCCCAAGGGUAUGGCUGUUCGCCAUUUAAAGUGGUACGCGAGCUGGGUUUAGAACGUCGUGAGACAGUUCGGUCCCUAUCUGCCGUGGGCGCUGGAGAACUGAGGGGGGCUGCUCCUAGUACGAGAGGACCGGAGUGGACGCAUCACUGGUGUUCGGGUUGUCAUGCCAAUGGCACUGCCCGGUAGCUAAAUGCGGAAGAGAUAAGUGCUGAAAGCAUCUAAGCACGAAACUUGCCCCGAGAUGAGUUCUCCCUGACCCUUUAAGGGUCCUGAAGGAACGUUGAAGACGACGACGUUGAUAGGCCGGGUGUGUAAGCGCAGCGAUGCGUUGAGCUAACCGGUACUAAUGAACCGUGAGGCUUAACCUU
This 2906-nucleotide ribosomal RNA is filed under the name Escherichia coli. Its description in RNAcentral is "23S ribosomal RNA". It matches the Rfam family "Bacterial large subunit ribosomal RNA". The record is from RNAcentral. Lineage: Bacteria; Pseudomonadati; Pseudomonadota; Gammaproteobacteria; Enterobacterales; Enterobacteriaceae.